This 207-nucleotide ribosomal RNA is filed under the name uncultured bacterium. RNAcentral's name for it is "partial 16S ribosomal RNA". It matches the Rfam family "Bacterial small subunit ribosomal RNA", at positions 568 to 774 of the family's 1533-position model. The record is from RNAcentral.
CGUGUAGGCGGUCCGGUAAGUCGGCUGUGAAAGUCCAGGGCUCAACCCUGGGAUGCCGGUCGAUACUGCCGGACUAGAGUUCGGAAGAGGCGAGUGGAAUUCCCGGUGUAGCGGUGAAAUGCGCAGAUAUCGGGAGGAGCACCUAUGGCGAAGGCAGCUCGCUGGGACGUUACUGACGCUGAGACGCGAAAGCGUGGGGAGCAAACA